UGGUGGACUAUGCCUUUGGUCAUUAUCAAAUGUAGUUCUUGCCUUGGAAUUUAUGUGGGAGUGGCUCCAAGACCCCCGUGGACUCAGAUGCUCGAUUCCCAUAGAGAAAAAAAUGCUCACAAAUAUAAAGGAAAUUGGAUCCUUUUCCCCUCCCAAUCCAAGGGGCUGGAAGAUGAUGACUCUGGGAAGAAAACUGAUCUGGUUUAAACUCCUUGAAAAGGUGCUGGGGGUCUCCUUGUUAGCAUCUCCCGUAAACAAGCUACAAUACACUGGAUGGUUAUAUUCUUCCCCUACCUCAAAUUCAUAUAUUGAAAUACUAACCCCAAAUAUGUAGUAUCUGGAUUGGGGAGUCUUUAGGAUAUAAUGAAGUCAAGAGCAGAUUCCUUAUGAAUGGAAUUAGUGCCCUUAUAAAAAGACAAGGAAGUUCUCUCUCUCUACCUCUCUACCUCUCUACCUCUCUACCUCUCUACCUCUCU
Long non-coding RNA from Talpa occidentalis (Iberian mole), 476 nucleotides. RefSeq lists it as uncharacterized. Lineage: Eukaryota; Metazoa; Chordata; Mammalia; Eulipotyphla; Talpidae. The transcript has 3 exons. The record is from RefSeq and is a predicted model, not a curated record.